UGGCGGGAUGAGGCGGAGUUUGGCAG
Molecule: non-coding RNA, 26 nt
Filed under: Homo sapiens (human)
Lineage: Eukaryota; Metazoa; Chordata; Mammalia; Primates; Hominidae
Source: RNAcentral